RNAcentral lists this ribosomal RNA (93 nucleotides) under Tragelaphus strepsiceros (greater kudu). RNAcentral describes it as "partial large subunit ribosomal RNA". Lineage: Eukaryota; Metazoa; Chordata; Mammalia; Artiodactyla; Bovidae. The record is from RNAcentral.
GAAUAAAAAAUCCUCCGAGCGAUUUUAAAGACUAGACCUACAAGUCAACUCACUUAAUCGCUUAUUGAUCCAAAAAGCUUGAUCAACGGAACA